Molecule: unclassified non-coding RNA, 260 nt
Filed under: Sporidesmium sp.
Lineage: Eukaryota; Fungi; Ascomycota; Sordariomycetes; Sporidesmiaceae
Description: partial contains 5.8S ribosomal RNA, internal transcribed spacer 2, and large subunit ribosomal RNA
Source: RNAcentral
CGCACAUUGCGCCCGCCAGCACUCUGGCGGGCAUGCCUGUCCGAGCGUCAUUUCCACCCUCAGGCCUCGUUUGCCUGGCGUUGGGGCCGCUGUGGGGACUUUCCCUACAGGCCCUUAAGACCAGUGGCGGGCUCGCCUGGACCCCGAGCGCAGUAAUCUUUUUUCUCGCUCAGGGGGUUUCCAGGGGGGCUUGGCCGUUAAACCCACUAAAUUUUUAGAAGGUUGACCUCGGAUCAGGUAGGGAUACCCGCUGAACUUAA